Molecule: long non-coding RNA, 491 nt
Filed under: Lepidothrix coronata (blue-crowned manakin)
Lineage: Eukaryota; Metazoa; Chordata; Aves; Passeriformes; Pipridae
Description: lncRNA (ENSLCOG00000009455.1)
Source: RNAcentral
CAGGAAGCCCAGUUACAAGACAAAGAACAAAAGUCCUGGGGGAACGUCACCAGCAGAGUCAUCUCCACACAUGCAAAGGUCCCUUCUGCCUUUUUUUUUUUCCCCUUUGAAAUUUCAAAUUCCAGUUUGUGGACAAAGUCCUGCCUAUCUGAGAAUAUAGAUCUCCGACCACUGACCAAACUCCAGUCCAAGCAGUCCCGAGGACUGCUCUUCCCCUUGCCCACAGAUGCCUCUGCUCAGUCCUUGGAUCUGCCAGGAUUGUGCUGAAAUUUUGCACUGGAGCACAGCACUGGUACUUGCACAAAGAGGAUUUUUCACUUAAUGUCAGCAGCUCCCUUUCUGGGAAGGACCAUCAGGAAUAACCAGGAGUGUGCAGAGUGCCUGAACAGCCUGUGUUGUCCCCAGUGUCCCAGUUGCCAGAGCACAGCAAGGAGUCCCUGUGAGUGCUGGGGCUGAGCACAGAGUUGGCUGGAGGGGGACAAGUUCUGGAG